AAUCUUCCGCAAUGGACGCAAGUCUGACGGAGCAACGCCGCGUGAGUGAGGAAGGUUUUCGGAUCGUAAAACUCUGUUGCCAGGGAAGAACGCCAGGGAGAGGCAAUGCUCUCUGGGUGACGGUACCUGAGAAGAAAGCCCCGGCUAACUACGUGCCAGCAGCCGCGGUAAUACGUAGGGGGCAAGCGUUGUCCGGAUUCACUGGGUGUAAAGGGUGCGCAGGCGGGAAGGUAAGUUAGAGGUGAAAUCUCACGGCUCAACCGUGAAACUGCCUUUGAUACUGCUUUUCUUGAGUUAGGGAGAGGUUGAUGGAAUUCCAGGUGUAGCGGUGAAAUGCGUAGAUAUCUGGAAGAACACCGGUGGCGAAGGCGGUCAACUGGCCCUAAACUGACGCUCAUGCACGAAAGCGUGGGGGUC
RNAcentral lists this ribosomal RNA (417 nucleotides) under uncultured bacterium. RNAcentral's name for it is "bacterial SSU rRNA". It matches the Rfam family "Bacterial small subunit ribosomal RNA", at positions 360 to 769 of the family's 1533-position model. The record is from RNAcentral.